CCUACGGGUGGCAGCAGUGAGGAAUAUUGGUCAAUGGUCGGGAGACUGAACCAGCCAAGCCGCGUGAGGGAGGAAGGUACAGAGUAUCGUAAACCUCUUUUGUCAGGGAACAAAGGCGGGGACGUGUCCCCGGAUGAGUGUACCUGAAGAAAAAGCAUCGGCUAACUCCGUGCCAGCAGCCGCGGUAAUACGGAGGAUGCGAGCGUUAUCCGGAUUUAUUGGGUUUAAGGGGUGCGCAGGCGGUCUGUUAAGUCAGCGGUAAAAGCCCGGGGUUCAACCCCGGCCCGCCGUUGAAACUGGCAGUCUCGAGUUGGAGAGAAGUAUGCGGAAUGCGCGGUGUAGCGGUGAAAUGCAUAGAUAUCGCGCAGAACUCCGAUUGCGAAGGCAGCAUGCCGGCUCCACACUGACGCUGAGGCUCGAAAGUGUGGGUAUCAAACAGGAUUAGAUACCCGAGUAGUC
RNAcentral lists this ribosomal RNA (459 nucleotides) under uncultured bacterium. Its description in RNAcentral is "partial 16S ribosomal RNA". It matches the Rfam family "Bacterial small subunit ribosomal RNA", at positions 338 to 795 of the family's 1533-position model. The record is from RNAcentral.